RNAcentral lists this ribosomal RNA (492 nucleotides) under uncultured bacterium. RNAcentral's name for it is "partial 16S ribosomal RNA". It matches the Rfam family "Bacterial small subunit ribosomal RNA", at positions 29 to 507 of the family's 1533-position model. The record is from RNAcentral.
AGUGAACGCUGGCGGUAGGCCUAACACAUGCAAGUCGAACGGCAGCACAGUAAGAGCUUGCUCUUACGGGUGGCGAGUGGCGGACGGGUGAGGAAUACAUCGGAAUCUACUUUUUCGUGGGGGAUAACGUAGGGAAACUUACGCUAAUACCGCAUACGACCUACGGGUGAAAGCAGGGGAUCUUCGGACCUUGCGCGAUUGAAUGAGCCGAUGUCGGAUUAGCUAGUUGGCGGGGUAAAGGCCCACCAAGGCGACGAUCCGUAGCUGGUCUGAGAGGAUGAUCAGCCACACUGGAACUGAGACACGGUCCAGACUCCUACGGGAGGCAGCAGUGGGGAAUAUUGGACAAUGGGCGCAAGCCUGAUCCAGCCAUACCGCGCGGGUGAAGAAGGCCUUCGGGUUGUAAAUCCCUUUUGUUGGGAAAGAAAAGCAGCAGGUUAAUACCCCGCUGUUCUGACGGUACCCAAAGAAUAAGCACCGGCUAACUUCGUG